Molecule: long non-coding RNA, 240 nt
Organism: Haliotis rubra (blacklip abalone)
Lineage: Eukaryota; Metazoa; Mollusca; Gastropoda; Lepetellida; Haliotidae
Exons: 5
Source: RefSeq, a predicted model, not a curated record
UUCAUAUUUAUCAACAGUGGGAUUAGAUCUUUUAAUUUUGCUGUAUAUCUAGAAUCCAAGUUGCAACAUUAAAUGUCAUUAACAAUUUAGUUAUAUGAUGGCAUUGGGAUUUAAAAAUCGUCAAAAAGAGCUUUAGGUCAAUGGCCUAUCGCCAGACACCCAGUCAGGACAUUUGUCCUGAUUUUUAUAGGCUUCAAAAUCACUGUACACGCUUUGAAUGUUUUUCUGCAUCAUUCUCAG